RNAcentral lists this ribosomal RNA (233 nucleotides) under Acinetobacter sp. RNAcentral's name for it is "partial 16S ribosomal RNA". It matches the Rfam family "Bacterial small subunit ribosomal RNA", at positions 1165 to 1397 of the family's 1533-position model. The record is from RNAcentral. Lineage: Bacteria; Pseudomonadati; Pseudomonadota; Gammaproteobacteria; Moraxellales; Moraxellaceae.
GGAGGAAGGCGGGGACGACGUCAAGUCAUCAUGGCCCUUACGGCCAGGGCUACACACGUGCUACAAUGGUCGGUACAAAGGGUUGCUACACAGCGAUGUGAUGCUAAUCUCAAAAAGCCGAUCGUAGUCCGGAUUGGAGUCUGCAACUCGACUCCAUGAAGUCGGAAUCGCUAGUAAUCGCGGAUCAGAAUGCCGCGGUGAAUACGUUCCCGGGCCUUGUACACACCGCCCGU